GACGUAGGGUGCAAGCGUUGUCCGGAUUUAUUGGGCGUAAAGAGCUCGUAGGCGGCUUGUUGCGUCGACUGUGAAAACCCGCGGCUUAACCGCGGGCUUGCAGUUGAUACGGGCAGGCUAGAGUUCGGUAGGGGAGACUGGAAUUCCUGGUGUAGCGGUGAAAUGCGCAGAUAUCAGGAGGAACACCGGUGGCGAAGGCGGGUCUCUGGGCCGAUACUGACGCUGAGGAGCGAAAGCAUGGGUAGCGAACAGG
This 253-nucleotide ribosomal RNA is filed under the name uncultured bacterium. RNAcentral's name for it is "partial 16S ribosomal RNA". It matches the Rfam family "Bacterial small subunit ribosomal RNA", at positions 524 to 776 of the family's 1533-position model. The record is from RNAcentral.